This 301-nucleotide ribosomal RNA is filed under the name uncultured bacterium. RNAcentral describes it as "partial 16S ribosomal RNA". It matches the Rfam family "Bacterial small subunit ribosomal RNA", at positions 509 to 807 of the family's 1533-position model. The record is from RNAcentral.
CAGCCGCCGCGGGAAUACAGAGGGUGCGAGCGUUAAUCGGAUUUACUGGGCGUAAAGCGUGCGUAGGCGGCUUUUUAAGUCGGAUGUGAAAUCCCUGAGCUUAACUUAGGAAUUGCAUUCGAUACUGGGAAGCUAGAGUAUGGGAGAGGAUGGUAGAAUUCCAGGUGUAGCGGUGAAAUGCGUAGAGAUCUGGAGGAAUACCGAUGGCGAAGGCAGCCAUCUGGCCUAAUACUGACGCUGAGGUACGAAAGCAUGGGGAGCAAACAGGAUUAGAUACCCCUGUAGUCCCUGUCUCUUAUAC